AAGUCCCGUAACGAGCGCAACCCUCACCCCAUGUUGCCAGCGGAUCAAGCCGGGAACUCUUGGGGAACUGCCCGGGUAACCGGGAGGAAGGUGAGGACGACGUCAAGUCAGCAUGGCCCUUACGCCCUGGGCUACAAACAUGCUACAAUGGACGGUAGACAGAGGGAUCCGAGACCGCGAGGUGGAGGCAAUCUCAAAAAUCCGUCCCCAGUUCAGAUCGCAGGCUGCAACUCGCCUGCGUGAAGUCGGAAUCGCUAGUAACCGCAGAUCAGCUGAGCUGCGGUGAAUACGUUCCCGGGCCUUGUACACACCGCCCGU
Molecule: ribosomal RNA, 318 nt
Filed under: uncultured soil bacterium
Lineage: Bacteria
Description: bacterial SSU rRNA
Rfam family: Bacterial small subunit ribosomal RNA
Source: RNAcentral